UGUAUAGUCUAUAGAUCAAUUUUAUAUGUUCACUGUGACUGUGAGUAGUGAUAUCUUUAUUACAAAAUCAAAUGAUCGACUGAAAAAAAGAAACCCAUAAUUAGGUUUUGAACGCUAAAACAUUUUUUUUUUUGGGUUAUAAUCUUAAAUAAUAUAUCCUCGUAGUCGUAUGUAUGGGUUUUAUUGGGCUUUGAUGCUCGAAAAAAUCUGACCCCAAAAAAAUUAAAAACAAAAAAUCUAGACAUGGGAUGAUUACGAGGACGAUGAUUGUAAUAAUCAGUGGCCGACUAUACGGCAACCUGAACAUGAUGCUGCUUUAAGGAAACUCGCCGCUGGAGUGUGGCGAUUGCAAGUCUCGGAUGCUCCUGUUACCACCGACAGAGGUAAGAAGAGGAGCAGGGAUGUGAUAGGGUUUCAGGAAAGUGUUGGUCCUGCUGGACACUUGGGUCCUCUGUUUUAUUAUCACCAUGAUAAAAAGUAUUCUGGCUUUCAAAGCAACAAAUUAAGAGACGGUGAUACUUCUGUCCCUGCAACAAAAGUGGAUUCUUGUGUUAUAAGCAUGAGCCUUCAAUUCCAUUUCUAUACGAUGCAAUGGAGGGGCAACAAAAUGGGAUCCCAUAAGCUUGGAUACAAGGGAUGGUGUACACCAAAUCUAUAGCAAUGCAAAGCAGAUUAAUCAAAAAGUGAAUGCUGUUUCAUUGGCUUCUUCUUUUGAGUUGAAACUCGAGAAAGCUCGUGCUUGCAUUGAGAAUGCUGAGAGUGAGAAGCGUUCUCAGAAAAAGAAGCUUCAGCAGUUCCUCAGGAAAGUUAGCCAGGAGAGGGCAGCUUGGCGCAGCAGGGAGCAUGAGAAGGUCCGAGCAAUCAUUGAAGACAUGAAAGCUGACAUGGCCCGGGAAAAGAAAUCGUCAAUCUGAAACUAGUCAAUGAGCUUGCAGAUUCAAAGUUAGCCGUAAAGCGUUACAUGCAUGAUUACCAACAGGAAAAGAAAGCAAGAAAGUUCAGCCAUGUAAAGCAAUGUAUGUACAUAUCAGUUGACUUGUCUAGCUUCAGCCAGUUACCAAACUCUUGCUGGUUACCACUUACCAGGAACAAAGACCCAGUCAGUGGUGUUUGCUGUAAUGAAUUUUGUUCUUCUUUAUAAUCCAACUUGAUGUUCCGUCAAUAAUAUCUUAUUUUAUUA
This is a non-coding RNA of Camelina sativa (false flax), 1180 nucleotides long. Lineage: Eukaryota; Viridiplantae; Streptophyta; Magnoliopsida; Brassicales; Brassicaceae. The record is from RefSeq and is a predicted model, not a curated record.